UACAGAGGGUGCGAGCGUUGUUCGGAAUUAUUGGGCGUAAAGGGCGCGUAGGCGGUGCGGUAAGUCACCUGUGAAAUCUCCUGGCUCAACUGGGAGCUUGCAGGCGAAACUGCCGUGCUGGAGUGUGGGAGAGGUGCGUGGAAUUCCUGGUGUAGCGGUGAAAUGCGUAGAUAUCAGGAGGAACACCUGUGGCGAAGGCAGCCCCCUGGGCUGAGAUUGACGCUCAGGCACGAAAGCGUGGGGAGCAAACAGG
RNAcentral lists this ribosomal RNA (253 nucleotides) under uncultured bacterium. RNAcentral describes it as "partial 16S ribosomal RNA". It matches the Rfam family "Bacterial small subunit ribosomal RNA", at positions 524 to 776 of the family's 1533-position model. The record is from RNAcentral.